UACGGAGGGUGCAAACGUUGCUCGGAAUCAUUGGGCGUAAAGCGCACGUAGGCGGUCCCUUAAGACGGGUGUGAAAGCCCACGGCUCAACCGUGGAAGUGCAUUCGAAACUGAGGGGCUUGAGUACGGAAGAGGGUCUCGGAAUUCCCGGUGUAGAGGUGAAAUUCGUAGAUAUCGGGAGGAACACCAGUGGCGAAGGCGGAGACCUGGGCCGAUACUGACGCUGAGGUGCGAAAGCGUGGGGAGCAAACAGG
This 253-nucleotide ribosomal RNA is filed under the name uncultured bacterium. RNAcentral's name for it is "partial 16S ribosomal RNA". It matches the Rfam family "Bacterial small subunit ribosomal RNA", at positions 524 to 776 of the family's 1533-position model. The record is from RNAcentral.